RNAcentral lists this ribosomal RNA (503 nucleotides) under uncultured bacterium. RNAcentral describes it as "bacterial SSU rRNA". It matches the Rfam family "Bacterial small subunit ribosomal RNA", at positions 27 to 546 of the family's 1533-position model. The record is from RNAcentral.
GGAUGAACGUUGGCGGCGUGCCUAAUACAUGCAAGUCGAACGGGAAGGGGUCCUUCGGGGUUCUGGAGAGUGGCGCACGGGUGAGUAACACGUAACUGAUCUGCCCUGUAGACUGGGAUAACCUUUGGAAACAGAGGCUAAUACCGGAUGAGUUCGCGUUAGUUAGAGAUGCGCGAGGGAAUGUUUAGGCGCUACGGGAUGAGGUUGCGGGCCAUCAGCUGGUCGGUGGGGUAAAGGCUCACCGAGGCGAUGACGGCUAGGGGAUCUGAGAGGGUGGCCCCCCACACUGGGACUGAGACACGGCCCAGACUCCUACGGGAGGCAGCAGUAAGGGAUAUUGCGCAAUGGACGGAAGUCUGACGCAGCGACGCCGCGUGGGUGAAGAAGGUUUUCGGAUCGUAAAGCCCUUUUCCAGGUGACGAGAGAGGACGGUAGCCUGGGAAUAAGUGUCGGCUAACUACGUGCCAGCAGCCGCGGUAAAACGUAGGACACGAACGUUAUCC